CAACUUGGUCUUAACUUCUCAGAAGCUACUUCAAACAGCAGACUCGGCACAAUGAUGAAAUACUCAGAGCAGACAUUGACUGGUUCUGGAAGCAGAGCGGGAGUGCAUUGCCUGAAGGCUGAAUUGAAUUGUAACACAGCGUGAUCUUGCCAGGAUGGCUAGCUCAGAUGCUUGCUAAAAGCCCCAUCACAUGAGGACCCAAUUUUCUAUUUUCCUGAACUGAUGUCCUGGCCAUGGCACCAUGAUGCAGUCACCAGCAAGAUCCCCAUUUCUUCCACAGCAGGUUCCUGAAAGUGCAAAGAUGUUCUCCAUCCUGGGAGUACUCGCUGACCUAUCCCUGAGGUCAGGGCAUACAAUUCCAACCCUGAUUUCCUGGAACAAACCAUCCAUAAAAGCAGAA
Molecule: long non-coding RNA, 400 nt
Organism: Pyrgilauda ruficollis (rufous-necked snowfinch)
Lineage: Eukaryota; Metazoa; Chordata; Aves; Passeriformes; Passeridae
Exons: 3
Source: RefSeq, a predicted model, not a curated record